Molecule: ribosomal RNA, 495 nt
Filed under: uncultured bacterium
Lineage: Bacteria
Description: bacterial SSU rRNA
Rfam family: Bacterial small subunit ribosomal RNA
Source: RNAcentral
AGGAUGAACGCUAGCUACAGGCUAACACAUGCAAGUCGAGGGGCAGCGAGAGAAGCUGCUUCCUGUCGGCGACCGGCGCACGGGUGAGUAACGCGUAUCCAACCUUCCCAUACUAGAGGAUAGCCCGGCGAAAGUCGGAUUAAUACUCUAUGUUGUAUUUCGAGGACAUCUGAAUAAUACCAAAGGUUUACCGGUAUGGGAUGGGGAUGCGUCUGAUUAGCUUGUCGGCGGGUAACGGCCCACCGAGGCGACGAUCAGUAGGGUUCUGAGAGGAAGGUCCCCCACAUUGGUACUGAGACACGGACCAAACUCCUACGGGAGGCAGCAGUGGGGAAUAUUGGUCAAUGGACGAGAGUCUGAACCAGCCAAGUAGCGUGCAAGGAUGACUGCCCUAUGGGUUGUAAACUGCUUUUAUGCGGGAAUAAAGUGAGGUACGUGUACCUUUUUGUAUGUACCGCAUGAAUAAGGACCGGCUAAUUCCGUGCCAGCAGCUGC